GAUGAACGCUGGCGGCGUGCCUAAUACAUGCAAGUCGAGCGAACAGACGAGGAGCUUGCUCCUCUGACGUUAGCGGCGGACGGGUGAGUAACACGUGGAUAACCUACCUAUAAGACUGGGAUAACUUCGGGAAACCGGAGCUAAUACCGGAUAAUAUAUUGAACCGCAUGGUUCAAUAGUGAAAGACGGUUUUGCUGUCACUUAUAGAUGGAUCCGCGCCGAAUUAGCUAGUUGGUAAGGUAACGGCGUACCAAGGCAACGAUGCGUAGCCGCCCUGAGAGGGUGAUCGGCCACACUGGAACUGAGACACGGUCCAGACUCCUACGGGAGGCAGCAGUAGGGAAUCUUCCGCAAUGGGCGAAAGCUUGACGGAGCAACGCCGCGUGAGUGAUGAAGGUCUUCGGAUCGUAAAACUCUGUUAUUAGGGAAGAACAAAUGUGUAAGUAACUAUGCACGUCUUGACGGUACCUAAUCAGAAAGCCACGGCUAACUACGUG
This 497-nucleotide ribosomal RNA is filed under the name uncultured bacterium. RNAcentral describes it as "partial 16S ribosomal RNA". It matches the Rfam family "Bacterial small subunit ribosomal RNA", at positions 28 to 507 of the family's 1533-position model. The record is from RNAcentral.